UACGUAGGUGGCAAGCGUUGUCCGGAAUUAUUGGGCGUAAAGCGCGCGCAGGCGGCCUCUUGAGUCUGAUGUGAAAGCCCCCCGGCUCAACCGGGGAGGGCCAUUGGAAACUGGGAGGCUUGAGUAUAGGAGAGAAGAGUGGAAUUCCACGUGUAGCGGUGAAAUGCGUAGAGAUGUGGAGGAACACCAGUGGCGAAGGCGACUCUUUGGCCUAUAACUGACGCUGAGGCACGAAAGCGUGGGGAGCCAACAGGG
Molecule: ribosomal RNA, 255 nt
Filed under: uncultured bacterium
Lineage: Bacteria
Description: partial 16S ribosomal RNA
Rfam family: Bacterial small subunit ribosomal RNA
Source: RNAcentral